UGCUCUUACUUCAAAGACACCUGCCUUGC
RNAcentral lists this non-coding RNA (29 nucleotides) under Rattus norvegicus (Norway rat). The record is from RNAcentral. Lineage: Eukaryota; Metazoa; Chordata; Mammalia; Rodentia; Muridae.